RNAcentral lists this ribosomal RNA (528 nucleotides) under uncultured bacterium. RNAcentral's name for it is "bacterial SSU rRNA". It matches the Rfam family "Bacterial small subunit ribosomal RNA", at positions 28 to 547 of the family's 1533-position model. The record is from RNAcentral.
GAGUAACGCUACGGCAGGCUACCACAUGUUAGUCGAACGGUAACAGGGAACAAGCUUGCUUUUCCGCUGACGAGUGGCGCACGGGUGCGCAACGCGUAUAGAACCUACCUUUUACUGGAGAAUAGCCCAGAGAAAUUUGGAUUAAAGCUCCAUAGUAUUGUUUUGAGGCAUCUUAAGAUGAUUAAAGGUUACGGUAAAAGAUGGCUAUGCGUCCUAUUAGUUAGUUGGUAAGGUAACGGCUUACCAAGACAUCGAUAGGUAAGGGCCCUGAGAGGGGGAUCCCCCACAACUGGUACUGAGACACGGACCAGACUCCUACGGGACGCAGCAGUGAGGAAUAUUGGACAAUGGGCGGAAGCCUGAUCCAGCCAUGCCGCGUGCAGGAAGACAGCCCUAUGGGUUGUAAACUGCUUUAUAUACAGGAAGAAUAAGUCCCUUGCGAGGGAUGAUGACGGUACUGUAAGAAUAAGGACCGGCUAACUCCGUGCCAGCAGCCGCGGUAAUACAGGAGGGUCCAAGCGUUAUCCG